RNAcentral lists this ribosomal RNA (480 nucleotides) under uncultured bacterium. Its description in RNAcentral is "bacterial SSU rRNA". It matches the Rfam family "Bacterial small subunit ribosomal RNA", at positions 8 to 521 of the family's 1533-position model. The record is from RNAcentral.
AGAGUUUGAUCCUGGCUCAGAUUGAACGCUGGCUGCAUGCUUAACACAUGCAAGUCGAACGAGAAAGUACCUUCGGGAACGAGUAAAGUGGCGGACGGGUGAGUAAUGCAUAGGAAUCUGCCCAGUAGUGGGGGACAACUCGGGGAAACUCGAGCUAAUACCGCAUGUGUCUUACGAGACAAAGACUUCGGUCGCUAUUGGAUGAGCCUAUGUCAGAUUAGCUUGUUGGUGGGGUAAAGGCCUACCAAGGCUACGAUCUGUAGCUGGUCUGAGAGGAUGAUCAGCCACACUGGGACUGAGACACGGCCCAGACUCCUACGGGAGGCAGCAGUGGGGAAUAUUGGACAAUGGGCGAAAGCCUGAUCCAGCAAUGCAGCGUGUGUGAAGAAGGCCUGCGGGUUGUAAAGCACUUUCAGUAGGGAAGAUAAUGACGGUACCUACAGAAGAAGCACCGGCUAACUCCGUGCCAGCCGCCGCGGU